Molecule: long non-coding RNA, 202 nt
Filed under: Elaeis guineensis (African oil palm)
Lineage: Eukaryota; Viridiplantae; Streptophyta; Magnoliopsida; Arecales; Arecaceae
Description: long non-coding RNA (EGUI_LNC014545)
Source: RNAcentral
AAAAGGAGAAGUCCUGUAUGAUUAGCAAGACUAAGUUCAAGAAGUUUUCGGCUGAAGCAAGUGUGAAUAUUGAAAAAGAGUUUUCACGAGAUUCAUAAGUAAACUUGAGUCAAGCCAAUCUGGCAUAUGACUGACGGAGGAGUUUGAUGAGUUUUUCAUGACCUUCAUCAAGUUGGAACUCACGAUAGAGGGACUGAAUCGU